This 644-nucleotide ribosomal RNA is filed under the name Debaryomyces hansenii. RNAcentral describes it as "eukaryotic LSU rRNA". The stretch from base 235 to 388 matches the Rfam family "5.8S ribosomal RNA". The record is from RNAcentral. Lineage: Eukaryota; Fungi; Ascomycota; Pichiomycetes; Serinales; Debaryomycetaceae.
AGGUUUCCGUAGGUGAACCUGCGGAAGGAUCAUUACAGUAUUCUUUUUGCCAGCGCUUAAUUGCGCGGCGAAAAAACCUUACACACAGUGUUUUUUGUUAUUACAAGAACUUUUGCUUUGGUCUGGACUAGAAAUAGUUUGGGCCAGAGGUUUACUGAACUAAACUUCAAUAUUUAUAUUGAAUUGUUAUUUAUUUAAUUGUCAAUUUGUUGAUUAAAUUCAAAAAAUCUUCAAAACUUUCAACAACGGAUCUCUUGGUUCUCGCAUCGAUGAAGAACGCAGCGAAAUGCGAUAAGUAAUAUGAAUUGCAGAUUUUCGUGAAUCAUCGAAUCUUUGAACGCACAUUGCGCUCUCUGGUAUUCCAGAGGGCAUGCCUGUUUGAGCGUCAUUUCUCUCUCAAACCUUCGGGUUUGGUAUUGAGUGAUACUCUUAGUUGAACUAGGCGUUUGCUUGAAAUGUAUUGGCAUGAGUGGUACUGGAUGGUGCUAUAUGACUUUCAAUGUAUUAGGUUUAUCCAACUCGUUGAAUAGUUUAAUGGUAUAUUUCUCGGUAUUCUAGGCUCGGCCUUACAAUAUAACAAACAAGUUUGACCUCAAAUCAGGUAGGAUUACCCGCUGAACUUAAGCAUAUCAAUAAGCGGAGGA